CAAUAGCGUAUAUUUAAGUUGUUGCAGUUAAAAAGCUCGUAGUUGGAUUUCGGGUGGGUACCGCCGGUCUCCCAUUGGGUAUGUACUGGCGUGGCCCGCCUUGCUGUCGGGGACGGUCUCCUGGGCUUAAUUGCUCGGGAAUCGGAGUCGACGAUGUUACUUUGAGUAAAUUAGAGUGUUCAAAGCAAGCCUACGCUCUGAAUAUGAUAGCAUGGGAUAACACGACAGGACUCUGGCCUAUCGUGUUGGUCUGUAGGACCGGAGUAAUGAUUAAGAGGGACAGUCGGGGGCAUUCGUAUUCCAUUGUCAGAGGUGAAAUUCUUGGAUUUAUGGAAGACGAACAUCUGCGAAANCANNNGCCAAGGAUGUUUUCAUNGA
RNAcentral lists this ribosomal RNA (378 nucleotides) under uncultured eukaryote. RNAcentral's name for it is "partial 18S ribosomal RNA". It matches the Rfam family "Eukaryotic small subunit ribosomal RNA", at positions 592 to 976 of the family's 1831-position model. The record is from RNAcentral.